GAUGAACGAGGGAGGCGUGCCUAAUACAUGCAAGUCGAGCGAACAGAUAAGGAGCUUGCUCCUUUGACGUUAGCGGCGGACGGGUGAGUAACACGUGGGUAACCUAUCUAUAAGACUGGAAUAACUCCGGGAAACCGGGGCUAAUGCCGGAUAACAUGUUGAACCGCAUGGUUCUACAGUGAAAGGCGGCUUUGCUGUCACUUAUAGAUGGACCCGCGCCGUAUUAGCUAGUUGGUGAGGUAACGGCUCACCAAGGCAACGAUACGUAGCCGACCUGAGAGGGUGAUCGGCCACACUGGAACUGAGACACGGUCCCGACUCCUACGGGAGGCAGCAGUAGGGAAUCUUCCGCAAUGGGCGAAAGCCUGACGGAGCAACGCCGCGUGAGUGAUGAAGGUCUUCGGAUCGUAAAACUCUGUUAUUAGGGAAGAACAAAUGCGUAAGUAACUGUGCGCGUCUUGACGGUACCUAAUCAGAAAGCCACGGCUAACUACGUG
RNAcentral lists this ribosomal RNA (497 nucleotides) under uncultured bacterium. Its description in RNAcentral is "partial 16S ribosomal RNA". It matches the Rfam family "Bacterial small subunit ribosomal RNA", at positions 28 to 507 of the family's 1533-position model. The record is from RNAcentral.